UAGCUCAGUGGUAGAGCACUUGCCUAGCAUGCAUGAGACCUGGGUUCAAUUCCCAA
This 56-nucleotide transfer RNA is filed under the name Heterocephalus glaber (naked mole-rat). It matches the Rfam family "tRNA", at positions 8 to 63 of the family's 71-position model. From Rfam's summary of the family: Transfer RNA (tRNA) molecules are approximately 80 nucleotides in length. Their secondary structure includes four short double-helical elements and three loops (D, anti-codon, and T loops). Lineage: Eukaryota; Metazoa; Chordata; Mammalia; Rodentia; Bathyergidae. The record is from Rfam by way of RNAcentral.